RNAcentral lists this ribosomal RNA (489 nucleotides) under uncultured bacterium. RNAcentral describes it as "partial 16S ribosomal RNA". It matches the Rfam family "Bacterial small subunit ribosomal RNA", at positions 28 to 507 of the family's 1533-position model. The record is from RNAcentral.
GACGAACGCUGGCGGCGUGCUUAACACAUGCAAGUCGAACGGUGAAGGGACCAGCUUGCUGGUUCUGGAUGAGUGGCGAACGGGUGAGUAACACGUGAGUAACCUGCCCCCUUCUUCUGGAUAACCGCAUGAAAGUGUGGCUAAUACGGGAUAUUCUGGGUCUGUCGCAUGGCGGGCCCGGGAAAGAUAUUGCUUCGGUGGGGGAUGGGCUCGCGGCCUAUCAGCUUGUUGGUGGGGUGAUGGCCUACCAAGGCGGUGACGGGUAGCCGGCCUGAGAGGGGGGACGGUCACACUGGGACUGAGACACGGCCCAGACUCCUACGGGAGGCAGCAGUGGGGAAUAUUGCACAAUGGGCGCAAGCCUGAUGCAGCGACGCCGCGUGAGGGAUGGAGGCCUUCGGGUUGUAAACCUCUUUCGCCAGUGAAGCAGGCCUGCUCCUUGUGGGUGGGUUGACGGUAGCUGGAUAAGAAGCGCCGGCUAACUACGUG